RNAcentral lists this ribosomal RNA (252 nucleotides) under uncultured bacterium. RNAcentral's name for it is "partial 16S ribosomal RNA". It matches the Rfam family "Bacterial small subunit ribosomal RNA", at positions 524 to 776 of the family's 1533-position model. The record is from RNAcentral.
AACGGAGGGAGCGAGCGUUAUUCGUAGUGAUUGGGCGUAAAGGGUACGUAGGCGGUUUAUAAAUGAAUUAAUAAAAUUCCACAGUAAAAAUGUGGGGUAUUAAAUAAAAAAAUAAACUAGAGUUUCAUGGAGGUUUGUAGUACUCCCGAGGUAGUUUAGUCUGAACGUAAAUCUCACGGGGACUCCUAAAAGUGAAAACAGCAAAUCAUGUGAAGCUGACGCUGAGGUACGUAGGUAUGGGGAGCGAAUGGG